CAGUCGCCACGGUAACACGGAGGGUGCAAGCGUUAAUCGGAAUUACUGGGCGUAAAGCGUGCGUAGGCGGUUCGUUAAGUCUGUUGUGAAAGCCCCGGGCUCAACCUGGGAAUGGCAAUGGAUACUGGCGAGCUAGAGUGUGUCAGAGGAUGGUGGAAUUCCCGGUGUAGCGGUGAAAUGCGUAGAGAUCGGGAGGAACAUCAGUGGCGAAGGCGGCCAUCUGGGACAACACUGACGCUGAGGCACGAAAGCGUGGGGAGCAAACAGGAUUAGAUACCCGUGUAGUCCCUGUCUCUUAUAC
RNAcentral lists this ribosomal RNA (301 nucleotides) under uncultured bacterium. Its description in RNAcentral is "partial 16S ribosomal RNA". It matches the Rfam family "Bacterial small subunit ribosomal RNA", at positions 509 to 807 of the family's 1533-position model. The record is from RNAcentral.